CCUACGGGAGGCAGCAGUGGGGAAUAUUGCACAAUGGGCGCAAGCCUGAUGCAGCCAUUCCGGGUGUGUGAAGAAGGCCUUCGGGUUGUAAACCACUUUCAGUCAGGAGGAAAGGUUAGUAGUUAAUACCUGCUAUCUUAACGUUACGACAGAAGAAGCCCCGGCUAACUCCGUGCCAGCAGCCGCGGGAAUCCGGAGGGUGCGAGCGUUAAUCGGAAUUUCUGGGCGUAAAGCGUGCGCGGGCGGUUUGUUAAUCGAGAUGUGAAAGCCCCGGGUUCAACCUGGGAACUGCUUUUCGAACUGCCAAAGUAGAGUGUGACAGAGGGUGGUAGAAUUUCAAGUGCAGCGCGGAAAGCGGUAGAGAUUUGAAGAGUUCAGUUGGCGAAGGCAGCCCCGGUUUCAACAUGGCUUUUCAUGUGCGAAAG
RNAcentral lists this ribosomal RNA (425 nucleotides) under uncultured bacterium. RNAcentral describes it as "bacterial SSU rRNA". It matches the Rfam family "Bacterial small subunit ribosomal RNA", at positions 338 to 759 of the family's 1533-position model. The record is from RNAcentral.